AGCGAACGCUGGCGGCAGGCCUAACACAUGCAAGUCGAACGAACCUUUCGGGGUUAGUGGCGGACGGGUGAGUAACACGUGGGAACGUGCCUUUAGGUUCGGAAUCACUCAGGGAAACUUGUGCUCAUACCGCAUGUGCCCUUCGGGGGAAAGAUUUAUCGCCUUUAGAGCGGCCCGCGUCAGAUUAGCUGGUUGGUUGAGGUAAUGGCUCACCAAGGCGACGAUCAGUAGCUGUUCGGUGCGGAUGAUCAGUCACAUUGGGACUGAGACACGGCCCAAACUCCUACGGAGGGCAGCAGUGGGGAAUCUUGCGCAAUGGGCGAAAGCCUGACGCAGCCAUGCGGCGUGAGUGAUGAAGGUCGUAGGAUUGUAAAUUUCUUUCACCGGGGACGAUAAUGACGGUACCCGGAGAAGAAGCCCCGGCUAACUUCGUG
RNAcentral lists this ribosomal RNA (434 nucleotides) under uncultured bacterium. Its description in RNAcentral is "partial 16S ribosomal RNA". It matches the Rfam family "Bacterial small subunit ribosomal RNA", at positions 29 to 507 of the family's 1533-position model. The record is from RNAcentral.